GACGAACGCUGGCGGCGUGCUUAACACAUGCAAGUCGAACGGGUCUGCCCUGUUUUUUGCGGGGUGGGUCAGUGGCGAACGGGUGAGUAACACGUGAGUAACCUGCCCCUCACUUCUGGAUAACCGCUUGAAAGGGUGGCUAAUACGGGGUGUUCUGGCUGUGCCGCAUGGUGUGGCUGGGAAAGAUUCACUUUUGUGGUGUUUUGGUGGGGGAUGGGCUCGCGGCCUAUCAGCUUGUUGGUGGGGUGAUGGCCUGCCAAGGCUUUGACGGGUAGCCGGCCUGAGAGGGUGGGCGGUCACACUGGGACUGAGAUACGGCCCAGACUCCUGCGGGAGGCAGCAGUGGGGGGUAUUGCACAAUGGGCGGAAGCCUGAUGCAGCGACGUCGCGUGAGGGAUGGAGGCCUUCGGGUUGUGAACCUCUUUCGCCGGUGAAGAGGGUCCUGCUCUUUGUGGUGGGGUUGACGGUAGCCGGGUUAUGAAGCGCCGGCUAACUACGU
Molecule: ribosomal RNA, 499 nt
Filed under: uncultured bacterium
Lineage: Bacteria
Description: partial 16S ribosomal RNA
Rfam family: Bacterial small subunit ribosomal RNA
Source: RNAcentral